Molecule: ribosomal RNA, 552 nt
Filed under: Fusarium equiseti
Lineage: Eukaryota; Fungi; Ascomycota; Sordariomycetes; Hypocreales; Nectriaceae
Description: eukaryotic LSU rRNA
Source: RNAcentral
ACAAGGUCUCCGUUGGUGAACCAGCGGAGGGAUCAUUACCGAGUUUACAACUCCCAAACCCCUGUGAACAUACCUAUACGUUGCCUCGGCGGAUCAGCCCGCGCCCCGUAAAACGGGACGGCCCGCCCGAGGACCCUAAACUCUGUUUUUAGUGGAACUUCUGAGUAAAACAAACAAAUAAAUCAAAACUUUCAACAACGGAUCUCUUGGUUCUGGCAUCGAUGAAGAACGCAGCAAAAUGCGAUAAGUAAUGUGAAUUGCAGAAUUCAGUGAAUCAUCGAAUCUUUGAACGCACAUUGCGCCCGCCAGUAUUCUGGCGGGCAUGCCUGUUCGAGCGUCAUUUCAACCCUCAAGCUCAGCUUGGUGUURGGACUCGCGGUAACCCGCGUUCCCCAAAUCGAUUGGCGGUCACGUCGAGCUUCCAUAGCGUAGUAAUCAUACACCUCGUUACUGGUAAUCGUCGCGGCCACGCCGUUAAACCCCAACUUCUGAAUGUUGACCUCGGAUCAGGUAGGAAUACCCGCUGAACUUAAGCAUAUCAAUAGGCCGGAG